AAGGGGAGCAAUCCCUGAGUAAAGUGGCGACCGGGUGAGUAACACGUGACUAACCUACCUUCGAGUGGGGGAUAACCUCGGGAAACCGGGGCUAAUACCGCAUAAUGCCUUCGGGUUAAAGGAGCAAUUCGCUUGAAGAGGGGGUCGCGGCUGAUUAGCUAGUUGGCGGGGUAACGGCCCACCAAGGCGAUGAUCGGUAGCCGGCCUGAGAGGGCGCACGGCCACACUGGAACUGAAACACGGUCCAGACUCCUACGGGAGGCAGCAGUGGGGAAUUUUGCGCAAUGGGGGAAACCCUGACGCAGCAACGCCGCGUGGAGGAUGAAGUCCUUUGGG
This 336-nucleotide ribosomal RNA is filed under the name uncultured bacterium. RNAcentral describes it as "bacterial SSU rRNA". It matches the Rfam family "Bacterial small subunit ribosomal RNA", at positions 72 to 422 of the family's 1533-position model. The record is from RNAcentral.